This 504-nucleotide ribosomal RNA is filed under the name uncultured bacterium. RNAcentral describes it as "partial 16S ribosomal RNA". It matches the Rfam family "Bacterial small subunit ribosomal RNA", at positions 30 to 523 of the family's 1533-position model. The record is from RNAcentral.
AUUGAACGCUGGCGGCAGGCCUAACACAUGCAAGUCGAACGGUAGCACAGAGAGCUUGCUCUCGGGUGACGAGUGGCGGACGGGUGAGUAACGUCUGGGAAACUGCCCGAUGGAGGGGGAUAACUACUGGAAACGGUAGCUAAUACCGCAUAACGUCGCAAGACCAAAGUGGGGGACCUUCGGGCCUCACACCAUCGGAUGUGCCCAGAUGGGAUUAGCUAGUAGGUGGGGUAAUGGCUCACCUAGGCGACGAGCCCUAGCUGGUCUGAGAGGAUUAACAGCCACACUGGAAAUGAGCCACGGUCCAGAUUCCUACGGGAGGCAGCAGUGGGGAAUAUUGCACAAUGGGUGCAAGCCUGAUGCAGCCAUGCCGCGUGUAUGAAGAAGGCCUUCGGGUUGUAAAGUACUUUCAGCGGGGAGGAAGGCGGUGAAGUUAAUAACUUCACCGAUUGACGUUACCCGCAGAAGAAGCACCGGCUAACUCCGUGCCAGCAGCCGCGGUAA